Nomascus leucogenys (northern white-cheeked gibbon) is the source of this 1629-nucleotide long non-coding RNA. RefSeq lists it as uncharacterized. The record is from RefSeq and is a predicted model, not a curated record. NCBI's taxonomy places the organism in Eukaryota, Metazoa, Chordata, Mammalia, Primates, Hylobatidae. The transcript has 2 exons.
CCACCAUGCCCUGUUAAUUUUUGUAUUCUAAAAUUUUUUAGUAGAGAUGGAGUUUCACCAUAUUGGUCAGGCUGGGGUUAGACCAUAUUUUCUAACCACCUUUCUUUGCAGUUUAGUGGGGCUUUGUGACUGAAUUCUGGCCAAUGGAACCACUGGGAGGCCUGGCCCAGAACAUCUUCCUGUGGAUUCUCUCAUCUGGCAACUGGAUGCCUACACCAAGGGUGAUUUUGGAGUCAUGUGUUGGAGAUCACAAAGCUUUUGUCAGCCAGGUUCCUGAAUGACUGCUAGACACCACGGGCUGAACUUUAUGAGCUCCAGCACCACCUCCAGCCUUCAGUGACCAUCUGGAGCAGGGAUCGGGAUGGAGGAGAAGGGGGACAACCAUGAACUUGGUGACCCAGGGUCAGCCUGAUUUCCCUUGUGGACACAUUUAUGCCCAGUGUGCAUUCCUCCCGAGGUCUGUUCCAAGUCUGGAGGCAGCAGAGUAGAGUGGAGAGAACAGUGGACUUGGAAUCUCACCUCCCAGAUUAGAGUCCUGGAUCUGACUUUGAUUGCUGGUGCUGCCUUGGGCAAGUUACUUUAGCUGCGUGCACCUCCAUUUCCCCAUGGAUAGAACAUGGGUUUUGGAUAGAAGUGUCUGAUAGCUGUACUGUGCUUUACGGUUCAUGAGCACGCACACAUAGGCCCAUAAUAUCAUAUCUCUGUUUACCCUGGGAGGUAGAUAUUAUUGCCCCAGGUGUCAGGUAAGAAGACUGAAGACCAGGGGUCAAAUUGCUUGCUCAGAGUCCCACAGCCAGCAGCAGCCAAGCAGGACACCAAGUCAGAGUCUAGAUUCCAGAUCUUGCCCUCUUCCAAGUGUACCACAUUCUUCUCAAAGUGGUCUCUCAGGUCUUUUGUCUAGAAAAUUUUGAGACUUUGAUGAGAAGCCCAUAUCUGCACACUGGGGAUUAGGCCAGAUAACCCUGUGUGUCCUUCCAGGCCUGGUAUUAUGAGGCUGAAGCCCAGUGCCCCACACUCCCAUCCUCACCCCUGAGAGAAAGAUAGAGAUUCCAGGGCCAGCCUGGUGGGUGCUGAACCUGCCCUGCUGAGCCAAGCCCAGGAGGCAGCCAAAGUCCUACCAGUGACCUUACCCUGGGGGCCCCUCCAGGUAGGGACCUGGUUGGAAAAGACAGACCGACUUCUUCUGGGAUGGCUGGAAAAAGAUGACAUACUCAAAGCCUUGUCCUUCCACUUGCAUGCACCUGGUGAAGAUGCGACAGUCACCUUUGUCUGGGGAGAGAUAGGCAGUGUCGUAGCCGGAGAAGGGAGGGUAUGGUCAGGAUGCAGCACCAUUUGGUUGAGUCUUGCCUCUGGUACAAGAUUAAGGAGAGAAAACCAGAGGACACCAGGUCCACCCCCAGGGAGCCUUCCCUCUGGGAGCAGAGGCACAGUUGCUGUCCUCACACAGCCUUUCUGUCUAGGGGAGAAACAUGCAGGAAGUGCCCUGGCUGAGAAUGGAGAUAGGAUCAGGGCCAGGGCAAGACUUUAAGAUACCAUAAGCAUUGAAAAUUGAAAAUGUAAUUACUCAUGUAACUCACAUAUAAUUCAAAAGAAUAAUACUAAACAGUAAAAUAAGAGCAGAAAAGUCCA